UCUUCGAUGGUCUAGUGGUCAUGAUUUCCGGUUCGUUACGCGGGAGACCGGGGUUCGAUUCCCCGUCGGAGAG
This 73-nucleotide transfer RNA is filed under the name Pyrenophora tritici-repentis Pt-1C-BFP. Its description in RNAcentral is "tRNA-Thr (CGT) (tRNA-Thr-CGT-3-1)". It matches the Rfam family "tRNA". Rfam says of the family: Transfer RNA (tRNA) molecules are approximately 80 nucleotides in length. Their secondary structure includes four short double-helical elements and three loops (D, anti-codon, and T loops). Further hydrogen bonds mediate the characteristic L-shaped molecular structure. tRNAs have two regions of fundamental functional importance: the anti-codon, which is responsible for specific mRNA codon recognition, and the 3' end, to which the tRNAs corresponding amino acid is attached (by aminoacyl-tRNA synthetases). tRNAs cope with the degeneracy of the genetic code in two manners: having more than one tRNA (with a specific anti-codon) for a particular amino acid; and 'wobble' base-pairing, i.e. permitting non-standard base-pairing at the 3rd anti-codon position. Lineage: Eukaryota; Fungi; Ascomycota; Dothideomycetes; Pleosporales; Pleosporaceae. The record is from RNAcentral.